This 425-nucleotide ribosomal RNA is filed under the name Gallus gallus (chicken). Its description in RNAcentral is "partial small subunit ribosomal RNA". It matches the Rfam family "Bacterial small subunit ribosomal RNA", at positions 780 to 1397 of the family's 1533-position model. The record is from RNAcentral. Lineage: Eukaryota; Metazoa; Chordata; Aves; Galliformes; Phasianidae.
AGAUACCCCACUAUGCCUAGCCCUAAAUCUAGAUACCUCCCAUCACACAUGUAUCCGCCUGAGAACUACGAGCACAAACGCUUAAAACUCUAAGGACUUGGCGGUGCCCCAAACCCACCUAGAGGAGCCUGUUCUAUAAUCGAUAAUCCACGAUUCACCCAACCACCCCUUGCCAGCACAGCCUACAUACCGCCGUCGCCAGCCCACCUCUAAUGAAAGAACAACAGUGAGCUCAAUAGCCCCUCGCUAAUAAGACAGGUCAAGGUAUAGCCUAUGGGGUGGGAGAAAUGGGCUACAUUUUCUAACAUAGAACAAACGAAAAAGGACGUGAAACCCGCCCUUAGAAGGAGGAUUUAGCAGUAAAGUGAGAUCAUACCCCCUAAGCUCACUUUAAGACGGCUCUGAGGCACGUACACACCGCCGGU